AUGUUGGCCGGGCGACGGUUGUCCCGGUUUAAGCGUGUAGGCUGGUUUUCCAGGCAAAUCCGGAAAACUAAGGCUGAGGCGUGAUGACGAGGCACUACGGUGCUGAAGCAACAAAUGCCCUGCUUCCAGGAAAAGCCUCUAAGCAUCAGGUAACAUCAAAUCGUACCCCAAACCGACACAGGUGGUCAGGUAGAGAAUACCAAGGCGCUUGAGAGAACUCGGGUGAAGGAACUAGGCAAAAUGGUGCCGUAACUUCGGGAGAAGGCACGCUGAUAUGUAGGUGAAGUCCCUCGCGGAUGGAGCUGAAAUCAGUCGAAGAUACCAGCUGGCUGCAACUGUUUAUUAAAAACACAGCACUGUGCAAACACGAAAGUGGACGUAUACGGUGUGACGCCUGCCCGGUGCCGGAAGGUUAAUUGAUGGGGUCAGCGCAAGCGAAGCUCUUGAUCGAAGCCCCGGUAAACGGCGGCCGUAACUAUAACGGUCCUAAGGUAGCGAAAUUCCUUGUCGGGUAAGUUCCGACCUGCACGAAUGGCGUAAUGAUGGCCAGGCUGUCUCCACCCGAGACUCAGUGAAAUUGAACUCGCUGUGAAGAUGCAGUGUACCCGCGGCAAGACGGAAAGACCCCGUGAACCUUUACUAUAGCUUGACACUGAACAUUGAGCCUUGAUGUGUAGGAUAGGUGGGAGGCUUUGAAGUGUGGACGCCAGUCUGCAUGGAGCCGACCUUGAAAUACCACCCUUUAAUGUUUGAUGUUCUAACGUUGACCCGUAAUCCGGGUUGCGGACAGUGUCUGGUGGGUAGUUUGACUGGGGCGGUCUCCUCCUAAAGAGUAACGGAGGAGCACGAAGGUUGGCUAAUCCUGGUCGGACAUCAGGAGGUUAGUGCAAUGGCAUAAGCCAGCUUGACUGCGAGCGUGACGGCGCGAGCAGGUGCGAAAGCAGGUCAUAGUGAUCCGGUGGUUCUGAAUGGAAGGGCCAUCGCUCAACGGAUAAAAGGUACUCCGGGGAUAACAGGCUGAUACCGCCCAAGAGUUCAUAUCGACGGCGGUGUUUGGCACCUCGAUGUCGGCUCAUCACAUCCUGGGGCUGAAGUAGGUCCCAAGGGUAUGGCUGUUCGCCAUUUAAAGUGGUACGCGAGCUGGGUUUAGAACGUCGUGAGACAGUUCGGUCCCUAUCUGCCGUGGGCGCUGGAGAACUGAGGGGGGCUGCUCCUAGUACGAGAGGACCGGAGUGGACGCAUCACUGGUGUUCGGGUUGUCAUGCCAAUGGCACUGCCCGGUAGCUAAAUGCGGAA
Molecule: ribosomal RNA, 1296 nt
Filed under: Escherichia coli
Lineage: Bacteria; Pseudomonadati; Pseudomonadota; Gammaproteobacteria; Enterobacterales; Enterobacteriaceae
Description: partial 23S ribosomal RNA
Rfam family: Bacterial large subunit ribosomal RNA
Source: RNAcentral